GACGAACGCUGGCGGCGUGCUUAACACAUGCAAGUCGAACGAGAGCGUAGAGAAAGCUUGCUUUUUCUACAAUCUAGUGGCAAACGGGUGAGUAACGCGUAAACAACCUGCCCUACGGAUGGGGACAACAGCUGGAAACGGCUGCUAAUACCGAAUACGUUCCGAAAGUCGCAUGACUAUCGGAAGAAAGGAUGGCCUCUAUUUAUAAGCUAUCGCCGGAGGAGGGGUUUGCGUCUGAUUAGCUAGUUGGAGGGGUAACGGCCCACCAAGGCGACGAUCAGUAGCCGGUCUGAGAGGCUGAACGGCCACAUUGGAACUGAGACACGGUCCAGACUCCUACGGGAGGCAGCAGUGGGGAAUCUUCCGCAAUGGGCGAAAGCCUGACGGAGCAACGCCGCGUGAGUGAAGACGGCCUUCGGGUUGUAAAGCUCUGUUAUACGGGACGAAUAAUCUUGUGGUUAAUACCCAUGAGAAGUGACGGUACCGUAAGAGAAAGCCACGGCUAACUACGUG
Molecule: ribosomal RNA, 513 nt
Filed under: uncultured bacterium
Lineage: Bacteria
Description: partial 16S ribosomal RNA
Rfam family: Bacterial small subunit ribosomal RNA
Source: RNAcentral